RNAcentral lists this ribosomal RNA (520 nucleotides) under uncultured Glomus. RNAcentral's name for it is "SSU rRNA". It matches the Rfam family "Eukaryotic small subunit ribosomal RNA", at positions 569 to 1090 of the family's 1831-position model. The record is from RNAcentral. Lineage: Eukaryota; Fungi; Glomeromycota; Glomeromycetes; Glomerales; Glomeraceae.
AGCAGCCGCGGUAAUUCCAGCUCCAAUAGCGUAUAUUAAAGUUGUUGCAGUUAAAAAGCUCGUAGUUGAAUUUCGGGAUCAAUAUAUCGGUCGUGCCUUUGGUACGUACUGGUAUCAUUGAUUUCUCCUUUCUGACGAAUCAUGAUGUCAUUAAUUUGGUGUUAUGAGGAGUUAGGACUGUUACUUUGAAAAAAUUAGAGUGUUUAAAGCAGGCAUUAGCUUGAAUACAUUAGCAUGGAAUAAUGAAAUAGGACGUUUGACCCUAUUUUGUUGGUUUUUAGGAUCGACGUAAUGAUUAAUAGGGAUAGUUGGGGGCAUUAGUAUUCAAUUGUCAGAGGUGAAAUUCUUGGAUUUAUUGAAGACUAACUACUGCGAAAGCAUUUGCCAAGGAUGUUUUCAUUAAUCAAGAACGAAAGUUAGGGGAUCGAAGACGAUCAGAUACCGUCGUAGUCUUAACCAUAAACUAUGCCGACUAGGGAUCGGAUGAUGUUAAUUUUAUAAUGACUCAUUCGGCGCCUUA